GAGGGUAUAGCUCCGUGGUAGAGCACAUGCCUAGCAUGCCUGAGGUUCUGGGUUCACUCCUCAGUACUGCCA
Camelus ferus (Wild Bactrian camel) is the source of this 72-nucleotide transfer RNA. It matches the Rfam family "tRNA". From Rfam's summary of the family: Transfer RNA (tRNA) molecules are approximately 80 nucleotides in length. The record is from Rfam. Lineage: Eukaryota; Metazoa; Chordata; Mammalia; Artiodactyla; Camelidae.